This 204-nucleotide ribosomal RNA is filed under the name Klebsiella pneumoniae. RNAcentral's name for it is "partial 23S ribosomal RNA". It matches the Rfam family "Bacterial large subunit ribosomal RNA", at positions 1 to 196 of the family's 2925-position model. Lineage: Bacteria; Pseudomonadati; Pseudomonadota; Gammaproteobacteria; Enterobacterales; Enterobacteriaceae. The record is from RNAcentral.
GGGUUGUGAGGUUAAGCGACUAAGCGUACACGGUGGAUGCCCUGGCAGUCAGAGGCGAUGAAGGACGUGCUAAUCUGCGAAAAGCGUCGGUAAGGUGAUAUGAACCGUUAUAACCGGCGAUGUCCGAAUGGGGAAACCCAGUGCAAUUCGUUGCACUAUCGUUAACUGAAUACAUAGGUUAACGAGGCGAACCGGGGGAACUGA